AGAGAGAGAGAGAGAAGGAUCUUAAUUUAGCAUUAAAAAGCUCGAUUUGCACAGGCUAAAGUAGAAUGCCAGAUUUAUGCUUGCUUUUAAUGUUAGUGGCUAUAAUUAAUGUUCAUAUGGCUAAUUAUAUGCUGCUCUUUAUAAGAAUAAUAAAGAAGAAAGAGAAUCAGGUCAGCGCUCUAUUGCAGCUGGAGCGCAAUGCAGAAGAUGCGCCAGAGUGGCUCCUUACAUUUGGAAUCAGCAUAGGAUCAUGAAAUAAACAUAGGUUGGAAUGUUAGCUAAAUGGCUUUCUAUUUCUUCACAAUUUUGCAGAUUUGUGUUGGACACAGACUCUUCAAGGUUGCGGAUUUGUUCCUCCACUGGUAGCAGAUGAUGCAUGGUAGCAUCAAUUAUCUCUACUCCUUUGAGAAGGCUUAAGCAUUUUGCAAAUGCAGCGAGUCAUUCAUUAUGCUUGACAAGUAACAAAUUUGAUGGAAGUAUUUGUUGGUGUAGCUUGAUGUAAACUCACCUGUCGAGGGUAAUUCUCAGGCUUAUGCUCUCCUUAAUGUGGAACUGGUUCAUUCAAAUUGAAAUGAGCUGUACCUGAUUAAAGUUCUCACUAAAAGUUGAGAGAGUACUUUGCAAAUGUUUUUGUAGGCAUUAAUCCACUAAUAAUAGUUGGGUCUAUUUUAGCUUUGUUAGGUUUAAUUUUAUGGAUCUAUUUGUUAUUGUUGUUUGAGGUGUUGUUGAGAACAAUUAAAAAUUAUUUUUAUAUUAAA
This 758-nucleotide unclassified non-coding RNA is filed under the name Hevea brasiliensis (rubber tree). Lineage: Eukaryota; Viridiplantae; Streptophyta; Magnoliopsida; Malpighiales; Euphorbiaceae. The record is from RNAcentral.